GUCUUCUCGUUCAGUUGAAGUAAAAAUAAGUACAAGCAAUCUUUAGGUGUACGUACGGAAGGAUCGAUCUAUAUAAAACGAGGGAAGUGGGUGGUCGGUGUCUGUCAAUGAAGGGCACGCCCAGAGAGAUCGCUCUCUCUUACAUCCAUCUCACCCGUUCAUGCCUCCCUGCGGGGCGCCCUUUUUUUUGGGGUGUUGGAGGGGGGGGGUUUCACGUUUUUACACGAACAACCCAUUAAUGCAUGUGUAGAAUGUCAUACUUAUUUUUAAAUACAACUUUCAACAACGGAUCUCUUGGCUCUCGCAUCGAUGAAGAACGCAGCGAAAUGCGAUACGUAAUGUGAAUUGCAGAAUUCAGUGAAUCAUCGAAUCUUUGAACGCACCUUGCGCCCCUUGGUAUUCCGAGGGGUGCACCCGUUUGAGUGUCGUGAACACCCUCAACCUUCUUGGUUUAUCGACCGAGAAGGCUUGGACUUUGGAGGUUUUUGUUGCUGGCCUUGUUUUGAAGCCAGCUCCUCCUAAAUGAAUUAGUGAGGCCCGCCGUGCCGAUCCUCGACGUGAUAAGUACGCUUCUACGUCUUGGGGUUUCGCACCGUUCUUGCUUCCAACUUCGAGUUGUGACUCGACCUUAUAAACCUUGACCUCAAAUCGGGUGAGACUACCCGCUGAACUUAAGCAUAUCAAUAAGCGGAGGAAAAGAAACUAACAAGGAUUCCCCUAGUAAUCUGAGAGGGAAGGGGGAAAAGCUCAAACUUUGAAUAUCUCGGUCU
Molecule: ribosomal RNA, 770 nt
Filed under: uncultured Russula
Lineage: Eukaryota; Fungi; Basidiomycota; Agaricomycetes; Russulales; Russulaceae
Description: eukaryotic LSU rRNA
Rfam family: 5.8S ribosomal RNA (bases 275-428)
Source: RNAcentral